AGUAAUGUCUGGGAAACUGCCUGAUGGAGGGGGAUAACUACUGGAAACGGUAGCUAAUACCGCAUAACGUCGCAAGACCAAAGAGGGGGGACCCUCGGGCCUCUUGCCAUCGGAUGUGCCCAGAUGGGAUUAGCUUGUUGGUGGGGUAACGGCUCACCAAGGCGACGAUCCCUAGCUGGUCUGAGAGGAUGACCAGCCACACUGGAACUGAGACACGGUCCAGACUCCUACGGGAGGCAGCAUG
Molecule: ribosomal RNA, 244 nt
Filed under: uncultured bacterium
Lineage: Bacteria
Description: partial 16S ribosomal RNA
Rfam family: Bacterial small subunit ribosomal RNA
Source: RNAcentral